GGCGGAUUGGAAAGUUGGGGGUNAAAUCCNKGGGCUCAACCUCGGNACUGCCKNNNAAACUCCCAGUCUUGAGUUCGAGAGAGGUGAGUGGAACUCCGAGUGUAGAGGUGAAAUUCGUAGAUAUUCGGAAGAACACCAGUGGCGAAGGCGGCKCACUGGCUCGAUACUGACGCUGAGGUGCGNAAGUGUGGGGAGCAAACAGGAUUAGAUACCCUGGUAGUCCACACCGURAACGAUGAAUGCCAGUNGUCGGCAAGCAUGCUUGUCGGUGACNCACCUAACGGAUUAAGCAUUCCGCCUKGGGAGUACGGUNGCAAGAU
RNAcentral lists this ribosomal RNA (320 nucleotides) under bacterium NF18. RNAcentral's name for it is "partial 16S ribosomal RNA". It matches the Rfam family "Bacterial small subunit ribosomal RNA", at positions 574 to 894 of the family's 1533-position model. The record is from RNAcentral.